CGCGGGGGCAACCCUGGCGACGAGAGGCGGACGGGUGAGUAACGCUUGGGAAUCUGCCCAUCAGCGGGGGACAACCCGGGGAAACCCGGGCUAAUACCGCAUACGCUCCACGGAGGAAAGCAGGGGACCGCAAGGCCUUGCACUGAUGGAUGAGCCCAAGCCGGAUUAGCUAGUUGGCGGGGUAACGGCCCACCAAGGCGACGAUCCGUAGCUGGUCUGAGAGGACGAUCAGCCACACCGGAACUGAGACACGGUCCGGACUCCUACGGGAGGCAGCAGUGGGGAAUAUUGGACAAUGGGGGAAACCCUGAUCCAGCGACGCCGCGUGGGUGAAGAAGGCCUGCGGG
RNAcentral lists this ribosomal RNA (347 nucleotides) under uncultured bacterium. RNAcentral describes it as "bacterial SSU rRNA". It matches the Rfam family "Bacterial small subunit ribosomal RNA", at positions 72 to 422 of the family's 1533-position model. The record is from RNAcentral.